This 464-nucleotide ribosomal RNA is filed under the name uncultured bacterium. RNAcentral describes it as "bacterial SSU rRNA". It matches the Rfam family "Bacterial small subunit ribosomal RNA", at positions 330 to 792 of the family's 1533-position model. The record is from RNAcentral.
CCCAGACUCCUACGGGAGGCAGCAGUGAGGAAUAUUGGUCAAUGGCCGAGAGGCUGAACCAGCCAAGUCGCGUGAGGGAAGACGGCCCUGCGGGUUGUAAACCUCUUUUGUCGGGGAGCAAAGCGAACCACGUGUGGUUCAUUGAGAGUACCCGAAGAAAAAGCAUCGGCUAACUCCGUGCCAGCAGCCGCGGUAAUACGGAGGAUGCGAGCGUUAUCCGGAUUUAUUGGGUUUAAAGGGUGCGCAGGCGGAGGUGCAAGUCAGCGGUCAAAUUGCGGGGCUCAACCCCGUACUGCCGUUGAAACUGCAUCCCUUGAGUGCGCGAGAAGUAUGCGGAAUGCGUGGUGUAGCGGUGAAAUGCAUAGAUAUCACGAAGAACUCCGAUUGCGAAGGCAGCAUACGGCAGCGCUACUGACGCUGAAGCUCGAAGGCGCGGGUAUCGAACAGGAUUAGAUACCCUGGUA